RNAcentral lists this ribosomal RNA (501 nucleotides) under uncultured bacterium. RNAcentral's name for it is "bacterial SSU rRNA". It matches the Rfam family "Bacterial small subunit ribosomal RNA", at positions 8 to 524 of the family's 1533-position model. The record is from RNAcentral.
AGAGUUUGAUCAUGGCUCAGGGUUAACGCUGGCGGCGUGCCUAACACAUGCAAGUCGAACGGUUCUAAGCGCGAGCUUAGGAUAGUGGCGAACGGGUGAGUAAAAGGUAGGAAUCUACCCCUUGGACGGAGAUAGCUACUGGAAACGGUAGGUAAACUUCGAUAAGCCCGAGAGGGGAAAGUGGUGAGACAGCCGAGGGAUGAGCCUACUCUCCAUCAGGUAGUUGGUGAGAUAAAAGCUUACCAAGCCGAUGACGGAUAACCGGUGUGAGAGCAUGAACGGUCACAAGGGCACUGAGAGACGGGCCCUACUCCUACGGGAGGCAGCAGUGGGGAAUCUUGGACAAUGGGCGAAAGCCUGAUCCAGCGACGCCGCGUGGAGGAAGAAGUCCUUCGGGAUGUAAACUUCUGAACUAGCCGAAUAAAAGGCCUGUGGACACACAGGAGAAGAAAGUAGGCUAGGAAAAGUCCCGGCUAACUACGUGCCAGCAGCCGCGGUAAU